GCACUGGCACGAGGCGGCUUCCGGUGCAGGACAGUGCCAAGGCUCCCACCGGGCCCUGGGCCUGGAUCCUGGCCUCCGGCACAGGCGGCAGCGCGAGGAAAUUUCAUCACAUGUGCAGAUGCAUAGGUCAUCACCAUGAUCAAGACACAGAUUUCUCCCAUCACCAGAGUUUGUGCUUACCCCUGCCUCAAGGUGAACUGUGUGAUUGUCCAUGGAGGAAGAAGGCAUGCAGGCUGAUGCUGUUAUUUCCACCCUGAGUGCUUGGCCGCACAAUCCUGCUCUGGGCUCUGUAACCCAUGGCAACAAGCGAAGGGAAGCAGGUGACUGCACAUGACAUCACACGCAUGCACGCACACACGCACAACACAGUUCUCUCUCCCUCCCUCUCUCUCUUGUGCAUGGGAUGCACAAAGGGGCCGUCUCCUCUAGCUAUAAUGUCAAUUAGUAGCACAGGCCUCAAGGAGCAGAAUUCUGGGUCUUUGGGGUCACAGUGCAUCAGUUCCUGACAAGCAGGGCCGUCUCUCCUUCAGCUCGCUCGAGCUCCUCAUAUUUCCCUAGAUAGCAAAGGAACCUGCAGCCCCGCACACACAGUGAGGCA
Long non-coding RNA from Jaculus jaculus (lesser Egyptian jerboa), 598 nucleotides. RefSeq lists it as uncharacterized. The transcript is spliced from 3 exons. NCBI's taxonomy places the organism in Eukaryota, Metazoa, Chordata, Mammalia, Rodentia, Dipodidae. The record is from RefSeq and is a predicted model, not a curated record.